Molecule: ribosomal RNA, 484 nt
Filed under: uncultured bacterium
Lineage: Bacteria
Description: partial 16S ribosomal RNA
Rfam family: Bacterial small subunit ribosomal RNA
Source: RNAcentral
AUUGAACGCUGGCGGCAUGCUUUACACAUGCAAGUCGAACGGCAGCGCGGGCUUCGGCCUGGCGGCGAGUGGCGAACGGGUGAGUAAUGCAUCGGAACGUGCCCAGUAGUGGGGGAUAGCCCGGCGAAAGCCGGAUUAAUACCGCAUACGACCUGAGGGUGAAAGCGGGGGACCGAAAGGCCUCGCGCUAUUGGAGCGGCCGAUGUCGGAAUAGCUAGUUGGUGGGGUAAAGGCUUACCAAGGCGACGAUCCGUAGCUGGUCUGAGAGGACGACCAGCCACACUGGGACUGAGAAACGGCCCAGACUCCUCGGGGAGGCAGCAGUGGGGAAUUUUGGACAAUGGGGGCAACCCUGAUCCAGCCAUGCCGCGUGCGGGAAGAAGGCCUUCGGGUUGUAAACCGCUUUUGUUCGGGAAGAAAUCCUCUGGGCUAAUACCCCGGGGGGAUGACGGUACCGGAAGAAUAAGCACCGGCUAACUACGUG